RNAcentral lists this small RNA (283 nucleotides) under Vigna angularis var. angularis. RNAcentral's name for it is "Non-protein coding transcript". Lineage: Eukaryota; Viridiplantae; Streptophyta; Magnoliopsida; Fabales; Fabaceae. The record is from RNAcentral.
AGAACUUCAUCUUUGAACUGGCCAACUCAAACUAGAGCACGAGAAAUAGCUUCCAAUUUCGUCUCAUGCAAUCCCUUCUUCACCGUCUUCAUAAAACCUUGUCAUGAGAGACAAUAUCGUCUGUGCGUACCAGAUUUGAAAGACAUUAUUGGGAGCAAGAAGUGUGCGGUGCUACAACUUGGGGAAAGAUCUUGGAAAGUAAAGUUGUUACACAGUACCGAACGUUUUCGACAAUACAGGUUCGGUGCUGGCUAUUACUUAUUUUCGAGUGAGAGUGAAUUGC